CCAAAGCGAGAGGCUUUUACUAAAAUAAACAGCCCUGUUUGCCAAGAAAAAGCUCCCUGGGGGAACAGGCGCAGAGAAAGGUUGGCUUUCGGGGCAGGAAGUGGAGUGAUGGCAACAGUUUAACCAAGAAACUAAAAAGAUGUUGGAGGUUUUUCCAGUAUAUAUUUUUUUUAUUUCCUCGAAGAACCGGAGUUUUUAGUUUCUCUCGUCUCCAGUUGUACGUCCGUACGAAGCUUGUCACAUCACCGUUUCAAUUUCUUUGUCAGCUGUUGCCACUCCCCUGCUCCACAGAGAGCCAGCAGCCUCAACGAUUCCUCUCGCCAUCCUUCAGUUUGGCCGCCAUCCAGCAGAGGGCGCCGCUGGUCGUCCUUAAGCGCAGCUAGGAAGAAAGAUGGCGGCGCAAAACCAGAGAGGGAAAGAGGAACGGUCCAAACCUAUGGUCCAAACAGAGUCCGAUGCCGUUAUGGCGUAGAGAGAGUGAGCUGGAUUCUCCCAAGGAUUGCUCUUCGGAGAGGCCGCGGUUUAUUACAAAUGGGAAAGCUUUCAUUGCAGAUUGCUCCGGCGCAGCGCAGAGGUACGUGACCCAUCUAGGCCGCGCCGGGGGUUGACUUUAUGGCUCUGAAUUCACUCAAAAAGUGAGCAGAGCUGAAUUUAAAUGUGUAUGUUUGUGUUUGUUUAUGGACAUCCACAUUUAAAUUGUGUGUGGGAAAUGUUUUAACAAAUGGCUAGUCAUAAGCAAAAGAGUGAAUCCUUGUUAGCUGGAAUAAAAGUCUAAGUCUCAAUGUAACCAUUCACCGAGUUUAUUUUGGUUGUACUCGUUAAAUGCUUGACUUUCUGUAUAUACAGAACAAAAGAUUCAUUUUGGCAAGAAAAUAAAAUGUUUUUGCUUUGAUAACUGUAAUAAUGCUAAAGAAACAAUUCAUUUUUUGCCAUGUUCUAUAAUCUUCAAAUAUGCUGACAAAUAGCUAUCAUAAUCAAUCAUAGUGAUCAGUUUUUAUAGCAAACAGAACAAUGAAACUGAAAUUGUUUGUUUAGAAAGUAGUUAAUCCAACAGCUAUUGGAUGAAUAGUCAGGUUGUGUUUUAUGCUGUGUAGAUCAGUGUUUUCUGACUGUGUUCUGACUUUACCACACUGCUUGUUUUGCUUCAUGUUUUAGACGUUUCACUGCUUAUUAAGCAAACCUGAUUCAGAUUGAUGACUAAUA
Long non-coding RNA from Poecilia latipinna (sailfin molly), 1203 nucleotides. RefSeq lists it as uncharacterized. The transcript has 4 exons. NCBI's taxonomy places the organism in Eukaryota, Metazoa, Chordata, Actinopteri, Cyprinodontiformes, Poeciliidae. The record is from RefSeq and is a predicted model, not a curated record.